AAGAGCAUCUUCAGUUUGAUUAAUAAUGUGAUUAAAGCAUAAAUAGCGUCCAUAAGUUGAAAUUUGUUCAUAAACACAAAUGUGGGCCUCCACCAAGAAAUCAAGAUCAACGGUCACAAAUACUCCAUCUUCAUACAUCUCAGCAGCUCCUUUAAGAUAUGGAUUUUUGAUCGUUAGAUCAGGACCCAUUAAUAAUCCUGCGUUGACUGAUACCAUGUUGACUCCUCUGUCCAUAGCCAAUGCCCAUGCUGUCUUCUCUGCUAGUGUUUUUGACAAUGCAUGCCAUAGCUUGAAUUUACGACAAACGUUGAUAUCACUCCAAUGUCUUUCAUCAAGAAGCAUGGAUGCAGAGUUUUGAUCAUUUUCAUGAUGUCCCCAAAUAAUUGCAGUUGCUGAGGAAGUAAACACAACUUUUUCAAUAGUGU
This 425-nucleotide unclassified non-coding RNA is filed under the name Hevea brasiliensis (rubber tree). The record is from RNAcentral. Lineage: Eukaryota; Viridiplantae; Streptophyta; Magnoliopsida; Malpighiales; Euphorbiaceae.